This is a long non-coding RNA of Heterocephalus glaber (naked mole-rat), 2045 nucleotides long. The record is from Ensembl. NCBI's taxonomy places the organism in Eukaryota, Metazoa, Chordata, Mammalia, Rodentia, Bathyergidae.
CUGAAGCAGGAGGCAAAUGGCCGAUUCUCUCUGGAGGAAGAUGUGAAAAUCCAGGAUCCUGUGGACAUCGGUGGCUUUGGCUCCCUUGGGCGAGUGAGCAGAGUGAUGCUUCUCAGACUGCAGUAAAGAAUUUCUUUUGAAAUUUCCUGGAAGGCGGUUGUGCUGGGGUCGCAUCCCAUCAGUAUCACUUCCAUUUUUCUCUUCAUCUGCUGGCGAGCUUGGUAACGCUCUUGUCCUGCACGCUUUGGGCUGUGUGCCAGGUUCACCUGGUUGGCAGAAUUGCAGUUACCACAAGACAACUGCAGCUGUGUCAAGCUGCAACCCUAUACCUGCUUUCAGAUUUUUGGAUGGAUACCCAGAAAUGGGAUCGCUAGCUCACACGAAUGUCUUCCUGUUUGUGUAUCCUCUACUAUCAAUGCAAAGUACCUCUCAUCCAAUUUUCCACAGUCAACCCAAUGCGAAUACAAUCGACCCUCUGCGUCCUACUGUUCUGCAUCCCUGGAUUCAACCAACCAUCCAUUGAAGAUAUUUGGAAACAAAAACUGCACUUCUAGAGCAGCAAGAGACAUAGCACUCCUCCCCUGCAGAGACCACAGAAUCAUGGCGUCAUCUUGGAAGCAAAGAACAGCCCUCACCAGACACUAAACCUGUUGGCACUUUGAUGUUGGACUUCCCAGCAUCCAGAACUCUAAAAACUAAAAUUACUCAGUGCUUGUUAUUUUGUUCUAGCACACAAAUGGACUAAGAUAUUGCUAUAUUUUCUAGUGUUGAAAAUACAUUCAAUGUAACAAUUGCCCUCAGAUGUUGUCUAACAUAUAACUAAGAUCUAAAAAAUGCAACAAAAGCUUUGUGUUUUAGACUGGUGUUGUAUAUAAGAGUAAGAGGAGAGACAGGAAACUAGCCUGAUUUGAGAGGGAUGUAUUUGGGGCACCCAGUGUAACACCACACACAUAGAAGCCAAUAAAUAAAUGUUUGUUGAGUUAAUAAAAAGUGAGGUCUGUGAACAGGGGACUUUAUUAUUAUGGGAGGCACAGGGUGCAGUAGAAAUGGCUCUGGCCUUGAGGACACAUCUGUCCUGCACAUCUUUUGCUGCUCCUUCAUCCACUCCAGCCCUUAUGUACCUUAUGUACCUUAUGUACCCAUGAUGGCCUCCACUUGAGCUCUCUCCCCUUCUGGCUCUCAGAUAGGUAGGGCCAGUGGGGAGCAAUGGGAGAGGUCAGAGGGAGAAGGGAAGAGAAGGAGGCCACAGUACUCAAUCCUUGACCCCUUCCUUGUAAUGUCUAGGGAUAGCUGUGUCUCCCAAUCACAAGCCACUGUCCUGCCCUUUUUGACCUCCGACCCCAUCAACAUUCCAAGGGUGGAAAUGGUGAGGUUGGUGCUCUCCUCUGGGCACUGUUGUAACCUGUGGCUUCCCAACACCCUGCUGUAAACAGUCUUUUGAUGAAAGUCUUCUCAAAUUGCUUAAUUUGGACAGUGACAGCCUUUCCCACAUGGGCCUGUACAGCUAUGCUUGUUCAUAGGGAACACUUGGUUUUGUGCAGUAAAAAUCCAGUGAAGUGUGUUAAAGAAAAAAGCAAAGACAUGGGGUGAUGCAUGAGAAGCUGUUGAGUAACUUCUAGGGCCCAGAGGCAAGGUCAUCAGAACCCUUCCCAUGUGGUGCCAGAACUGGAACUAGAAGGUCAGCAGGAAGUAAAAUGGCCAUGCAAGGCACCCCUCCAGGCCUCAGUGGGGCUUUCAUAGCUGCUUCCCUCUGCAUGUCCCCCUGUCUCUCCCCACUAGCCAUGCCUGUCUCUCUUGGUUUCCCUGGUGAGAGAUGUUCCUCCCUUAAUUUACAGGUUCACAUGUUCUUAACUCAACUCACUAAGGUUCACAAUGCCUCUUAGGCCUUAAAAGAAUAACUAGGCUUUUCCACACAGGGCCAACACUCCACGCUUAUCCAAUUAGCUAUGGCAGGAGGAUCUGGGUCUGUUGUAUUUCUGCCUUCAUGAAUGAGGAAACAGUGGUAUAGUUACAUAAUUUUUAAGGUCACAUGGUGGUAGGACAAG